GACGAACGCUGGCGGCGUGCUUAACACAUGCAAGUCGAACGGAAAGGCCCUGCUUUUGUGGGGUGCUCGAGUGGCGAACGGGUGAGUAACACGUGAGUAACCUGCCCUUGACUUUGGGAUAACUUCAGGAAACUGGGGCUAAUACCGGAUAGGAGCUCCUGCUGCAUGGUGGGGGUUGGAAAGUUUCGGCGGUUGGGGAUGGACUCGCGGCUUAUCAGCUUGUUGGUGGGGUAGUGGCUUGCCAAGGCUUGGACGGGUAGCCGGCCUGAGAGGGUGACCGGCCACAUUGGGACUGAGAUACGGCCCAGACUCCUACGGGAGGCAGCAGUGGGGAAUAUUGCACAAUGGGCGGAAGCCUGAUGCAGCAACGCCGCGUGCGGGAUGACGGCCUUCGGGUUGUAAACCGCUUUCGCCUGUGACGAAGCGUGAGUGACGGUAAUGGGUAAAGAAGCACCGGCUAACUACGUG
This 468-nucleotide ribosomal RNA is filed under the name uncultured bacterium. Its description in RNAcentral is "partial 16S ribosomal RNA". It matches the Rfam family "Bacterial small subunit ribosomal RNA", at positions 28 to 507 of the family's 1533-position model. The record is from RNAcentral.